AGCCUGAACGCUGGCGGCGUGGCUAAGACAUGCAAGUCGUACGGGUGUAGCAAUACACCAGUGGCGGACGGGUGAGUAAUGUAUCGCUAACGUACCCCGGAUUCUGGGAUAGCUGCCCGAAAGGGCAGGUAAUACCGGAUGAUAUAUCCUUUUCGCAUGAUGAGGAUCUCAAAGGGAAACCGUUCUGGGAGCGGGCGAUAUCGUAUCAGCUAGUUGGUGAGGUAACGGCUCACCAAGGCGACGACGCGUAGCCGGACUGAGAGGUUGGCCGGCCACAUUGGGACUGAGACACUGCCCAGACUCCUACGGGGGGCUGCAGUAACGAAUCUUCCGCAAUGCACGCAAGUGUGACGGAGCGACGCCGCGUGUGGGACGAAGUCCUUCGGGAUGUAAACCACUGUCAGGGGUUAGAAAGUUCUGAUCAACCCAGAGGAAGGCACGGCUAACUCUGCGCCAGCAGCCGCGGUAA
RNAcentral lists this ribosomal RNA (469 nucleotides) under uncultured bacterium. RNAcentral's name for it is "SSU rRNA". It matches the Rfam family "Bacterial small subunit ribosomal RNA", at positions 26 to 523 of the family's 1533-position model. The record is from RNAcentral.